Molecule: long non-coding RNA, 949 nt
Organism: Hyposmocoma kahamanoa
Lineage: Eukaryota; Metazoa; Arthropoda; Insecta; Lepidoptera; Cosmopterigidae
Exons: 3
Source: RefSeq, a predicted model, not a curated record
CAUACAAGCAUUUGCAAAUCAAAGUCAAAAUAUCAUUAAAACAUUCGUAUCGUUUCCCCAGCUACGACUAAAAUUUAUUAUUUGUUUUUUAUAGGGAACAAAUACGAAAGACAGCUCUGGAGCUCCCUGAUUCACUUAAUGGCUUAAAAAUGGAAUAAAAAUUACACAAGGACUACCUUCGCAUCCUUGCUGUUAUUUAUUUUCUUAAUUCAUAUUCGUAUACAUAACAUAAAUGCAAAAGUAUUUUCUCAAGUUGAACGUACGUAUAUGUUAGGCAUGUAAGUUUUAGUGGUUGUAGACGAUACGGAAAGAACGGACAAGGAAGGAGACUUGGCCUGUGCGGGCAGCGCGGUGCGUAAGUCCGCUACCGCUGCUCACGAAUGGUGCACGUCGCUCUGAUCAUUUAAAUUCGGUGAUUUUCCACGAAUGUAAAAAAUAUUUUUUAUUUCUACAAUACACGAAAAUCCUAUCCUGAUAUAUAUGUUUUUUAUUGUCUGACGCGGACAAUAAGAGGCGAUAAAUGGCAAUAAGUGACGUUGGCUACAAGUCUGGUUCGAAAGAAAUCGGUGGAAUUUACCGUUACGACGACGCGUCGAGUAGUCUACGGAACUUAAUGGACUCAUGGAUUUGAAUUUGUAACAAUGGAUACAAUAAUAUGUAAUUUGUGCCCCGGGCACUUUAAGGGGAUUACGUCUACGGAUCAUCUGGUGGUCUGAUCAAGGGAAUUGCUGUUCGCACAAAUCAAUUCCUACUUAAAGCAAGGCUAUCAACGCCGGGAGGAUGUAGAUGACCGAAGGAAACGGGCAAGGCGAAGAAACUUGAUCACCCCGGGAGGCGCGGUGCUCCAGAGUUCGAGUUCGCUACCACUACUCAAGAACAAUAUCACCGUCACCAUGACAAACAGAGAAGAAAAUACAAAAUGUACAUAGGAGUCCAUAACACUACCAUU